GAGCAUGGAUUGUUAUACAAUUGCGUCAUUUGGGAAUGGGGGAUCGGCUUUUGUUCAGCCUAAAUUUGGGGUUUAUUCACCGUCAAUUGAGGUUUAUAUAGCGGGUUGUUUUUCCGGUGUACCUGUGAUUUUAACUAAGACGAUUAUCGACAAGGAGUCCUCUGAGGUGACAUACGUGAGCACCGACAGCGUUAGGGUUUCGGGUCCGGUGGAAUUUGAGGUAUACGAAAGUGAAAGGGAUUUAAUACUUUGUGGAUCGUUGGAGAGAGUGGAGACGGGUUGGGCUAAUGGUAAUGGGAUCGAGAAUAAUUCGAGGACUGGUUGGAGCAUGGAUUGUUAUACAGCUGCGUCAUUUGGGAAUGGGGGAUCGGCUUUUGUUCAGCCUAAGUUUGGUGUUUAUUCGCCAUCAAUUGAGGUUUAUAUAGCCGGUUGUUGUUCGGGUGUACCUGUGAUUUUAACUAAGACGAUUCAGGUUACACCGAGAAGGAAGGUACCUAGGCAGGGGAUGUUGGACGCAAUUCCUGAGGAUGAG
This 532-nucleotide long non-coding RNA is filed under the name Nicotiana benthamiana. RNAcentral describes it as "long non-coding RNA (NBEN_LNC039019)". Lineage: Eukaryota; Viridiplantae; Streptophyta; Magnoliopsida; Solanales; Solanaceae. The record is from RNAcentral.